Molecule: long non-coding RNA, 328 nt
Organism: Oncorhynchus gorbuscha (pink salmon)
Lineage: Eukaryota; Metazoa; Chordata; Actinopteri; Salmoniformes; Salmonidae
Exons: 3
Source: RefSeq, a predicted model, not a curated record
GGAGAGGGGAGAGGGAGAGCCCCUAUCCACCCAAAGACAUGGAGCACUCCUGGGCAUCGCACGAGAAGAGAUCGUGUUCAAGGAAAAGGAGGUACUGGAGUGGCAGAGGAAGUACGAGGACAGUCGACAGGAAGUGCUGGAGAUGAGGAGAAUCGUGGCAGAGUAUGAGAAGACCAUUGCACAGAUGAUUGGUGAGUGUUUCUCUGUGUAGUUUCUCAUACAUAAAUCUACCAACCUGGGUUUUAUACAGUACAUGAUUGCUAUACCAAUAUGUGGUUUGUUGUUCCUCGCAACCUUUUCAGUAUGUUAAUAAUUAGCAAAAACAUCU